Salvia miltiorrhiza (redroot sage) is the source of this 435-nucleotide long non-coding RNA. RefSeq lists it as uncharacterized. The record is from RefSeq and is a predicted model, not a curated record. NCBI's taxonomy places the organism in Eukaryota, Viridiplantae, Streptophyta, Magnoliopsida, Lamiales, Lamiaceae. The transcript has 2 exons.
GAUAACUACAUGUGUUUAUUAGAAUUAAGGAGUCAUUUCCUUUACUUCCCUCACAGUCAACCAUUCCCUCCAGCAAAACAAAAUUUCGCCAUCUUUUACCUUCAAGCUCGAUUUCAUAAGGAAUUUCAAGCAAUAGCCACAAUAGUUUGAGAAAAAGGUUAAGUUUGGAUGAAGAUGGAAGUGUGCUGAGCUGGAGCUUUUUGUUUAUGUAAAUAGUAAUAGGCUCAGGAUGUUGUGUCUUCAUACAUAAUGUCCAAUGAUGUACUCCGCUGCAACACUUUAUUUCUCUUAUCACUUUUGACGUGUUGUAGAAUGUUUUAAAACCUUACCCUGUAUAUGAGCUUGAUAACUCUUGGUUAUGAUAUUUAUUUGGUUUAAACUUCUUUUGUUAAAGUUUGAUGGUUAUAUAUGUGAGUUAAUUAUUUAUUUGCCUUA